CAGUCUGUGACAUGCCAGCUUUUCCUCUGUGAGUCUGUAAUGCGUCUUAUGAUGGGCCAAACUAAGCCUCUUGCACUGCCUUUGCAUGCACUGAUCUAAUGACACAUUGCUUUACUGGGCUUGCAGAUAAAGAUGAUUGUUAGAUUGGGACAAACUGAGGAUUUCCUAGGACUUUCUGCCUUUUUAAGCAUUCGUGUUCCAUAUCCCAUUUGGUGUAGGUUGAUCAAUGGUGAAUAAAUAUUAUUAUAAAGCAAGGCCACUAAAUUAAUAACCUGGCAUCCAGAAGAGAAGCAAGGCAGAGACAGCAGCAUCAAGUCACACAGAGAAGGGAGAAUAUGAUGGGAGCCAUGCAUGUUCUUGGUAGCAAUACGAUCUUUCUGGAAAUGGGUUGGAGAGCCUCGGGGGUCUUGGAUGGUCAUGACACGUCCCUACAGGCCAUGCCCACUUCCUGGCCUCAUUUCUGAACUUGUCCUGUGCUGUGUUUACCUCCAGGAACUUACCUCCAGAAAAAGAUGUUUGUUCUGGAAAAGUGUUGCCCUAUUUCUUCAUGGCUUUUUUUCCCAGUCAUAUAUUGCUCCUCCCCAUUGCCUGUUGUUACAAAUAAUCCUUGGUUAUUGUCCAAAAUUCCUGUCUGUUAUUACCAACAGCCCGUGGCUGGCUCCACAGACAUCCAGCUAUACAUGUUUGGGACAUGCACACUAACCCCAUGUCUUUUGGGAUUAUAUAAAAGGUUUUCCUCUAAACCCCUGGCCCUGAAACUGAAUAUGAAGUGCUUGCCCAUGAAAUAUUACUGAAUUACAUUUUUGUAAUAUUAUUGUGUUAUAUUAUUUUCCCAAAAUGCAGUUGUCAUGAAAGAAAGAUACUCUGUUUUGUGGUAUGCUACAUUCUCUUCCAUUUCAGACAUUUCUACACAAAAUGCUAUUUAAUUUUUCUUACCCAGUGCUUCAGUGAGAUUUGUGGAGUGACUGAGGACAAUUGCAUAAGUAAGAGCUCUUAGGAUCAAAGCCUUUAAAAUAGUCUGUGCUUGUUAAGUCAUUGAUGGAAGUCGAGUAGCACAUACACAAAAAAAAAAGAAAAAAACAAACCCCCAAAAAAAGACACAAAGAACUGAUUAUGAGCAAGCCUCAUUUGAAAGCAGGUGCUGUUGUAGUUAUCCAGCAGAAGACUCAGUUCACAAGUUGUCCGUAGACUGCAGAAAAGAGAAGUUUUAAUACAAAAAGAUUGUCUCAUUGACCCAGCUUGAUCUGUGUUUCAAAGGCAAAGUUGUAAGAGUACUACAAUAGGCUUCACAUAUUGAUCAGUACAAGGAAAGAAUGACAUAGCUCAGCCCAUAACAUUGUUCUUUUUUUGUUUUACCUUUUAUCUCCUGCCCCUACUUCUUUUCAAGGUAAGAGAAAAGUUAGAGUUAGUUCAUCUUAAAGAGAUUAGACUUCCUACUCAAAAUCUGGAAAAGAUGCUAAGAAAUCACUGGUAACCUGUAAGUGUUUAUUUUUGCUUUUUGUAUGUUUGAGUUCGCACAAUUAAUACAUGUUUCUAAAUGAGAAGGAGACCAUUAAAACAAGAAUUAGAAAUGCCUCUUUCUUUCCUUUUUUCUUUCUCUCAUACAUGACACACAGAGACACACAUUAGUUUUGCAAACUGAAAUGAAUAUGGACAUCACUGCAAAUAAUCUCUCAGUUCCUCAUUUUCCAUUUUUGUGAGGAGAAUGAAAUCAAUUUAAAAAGACUAACAACAGACCGUUGUCCCAUGAGUCACAACUAAUUUUCUGAUACGAAUGAAGGAAUUCUAUAUAGUGAAUAGUGGGGUGUGUUGGAAAGAUUUUAAUGACCUAGUUUGGGUGUUUGUAUGUGGCAAUGCAUGAAUUAUAUAGGUCAGCCUCAGCAAAACCAGAUGUCUUAUCUACCAAAGGUUGUACUUGCAGAAAUCAGAGAGAGGAAAUGUAAAAUUAUUUUGUAAGAAAUCUCUAAUUUAUUUGCCUUGCUGCUAAAAUGGCUGAAUGUUGAAUGUUGACUUAACUAACCUGUACUUAUUCAUCCACCCAGUAGAAUUUGCAACAUCAACAUUAGGUCCCUUAGACAAUGAAGAAGAAUGAUCAAUUAAGCAUGGGUUGCACCAAAGACAGCGUGACUUGUUACUAGAAAACUCAGACAGUUAAUUACUAGAAAACUCACAUAUUUAUUACAGCUUCAUUAGCUUCACCCAGGAAAAAAAACCAAAACCAAAUAAAAACCCAAAACAACCCGACCAAACAGUUUUAAACCUUGCUUGCAUUUACCAAGCUUCUCUGACCCUCUCAGACCUCUUUCCUACUGUGGAGGAUGGCCAGGUCUUUAUCCUGCUUGUAAGUUUGACAGCCUAUCUUUGAAAGAUCAAAAGUAAUUCAGGCCUUUAUCACUGCAGUGCAGGAAAAAGAGAUGCUAUUUCAUUUCAUUUUUAUGUUCCAAAAGGACAAAAUGACCACCCUAAUAAACUUUUGGAACAGAGUCAGGUUUUCUUAGAUGGGGGCAGAAAUUGAAUUAAAAUCUCAAACAUUUAAAGGAGCAUUCCUGGUAGAAUUGGUGGAUCCUUAUAAAGCUGGGAAGGCAGAUAGGCAGUAUUGGGAUAUUGGGACACAAGACAGGGGAUGGACUUUGGACCUGGUUAGCAUGAGAGAUUUCAUAACAGGAUGCCUUGGCAAUAACAAACAGAACUUUGAGGAUUAAAUAAAAAUUGCAAGAAGAUUCAAUCAGACUGACUUACCGGAAAAAUAAAAUUACUUCUGCAAGCAAGAGAUGUGUAAAAUGUGUAAGUUUGUUUCUGUGAUCUUUAACCCAGUCAUUGAGGUAAAACAUUGCUAGUCUUCCUAGAAUAAAUACAUAAACAGUUGUACUCUGCAAUAAAUUUGUAUUCUUUUACCACCUCGAAGUCUUCCCCGUCUCUCCUCAUCACUGAUAGGCAGAGAACCCUUCAGUGUGGUUGAGACUGGGCUUGUCAUGUUGGCCUUGUUUGAGUCAUACUGGGCUUGUUUAAAAGCAGAACUGCAUGUGACAAAGGAGCUUUGUGUGUGAAAUCAUGGAUGGUUCAAAAGCCUGAAGACUGUGUGUACAUCCCUGUUUACAUACCAACUAGGUAAAGGCUGGAGGACUUGUAUUUGGACAGGAAACAUGCCAGUGGCCAUGACAUGAUUGUAUCUUUUCUAAAUUUUUUAUGAAAGUACUACCUGGUCAAAAAUCACCCCAAGACUCUAUAGAAAGAUAUG
Long non-coding RNA from Motacilla alba alba, 3238 nucleotides. RefSeq lists it as uncharacterized. Lineage: Eukaryota; Metazoa; Chordata; Aves; Passeriformes; Motacillidae. The transcript has 3 exons. The record is from RefSeq and is a predicted model, not a curated record.